AGGCGCUUGCUCUGACGAUUCCGCCACCGCAUCAUAUCAUAAAACCAUUAAAUCAAUUGUUACAUACAACCCUGGGCGUAGGUUACGCGCUAGCUCACCAAAUGAUACUAUGAUUGCGAGAAUGUUUAAUGAGCGCUUCCAUUCUGUCCGUACCUGCUUUUCGGAUCAAGCAUCUUCAUCAAAUUUGCUAAAAUCAUUCCUCUACAAAAGAAAGAAAACAAAAAUUACGUUGAGAAUUAUUGUCCCAUUUUUUUGUUAUCGAUAAACAAGAAUCUUGAACAAUAUGUAUCGCCAAUCAUAUAUAACUCACAGAUUCACCACUUA
Molecule: non-coding RNA, 324 nt
Organism: Paramuricea clavata
Lineage: Eukaryota; Metazoa; Cnidaria; Anthozoa; Malacalcyonacea; Plexauridae
Source: the annotation of a GenBank genome assembly